AGUGGAUGGGGAGCAACCUAGUUGUGCGUGUGUAAAGGUAGUGCCAAGAAAAGCGAUGAUCAUGUUGAAAAUCAAUUCCCGGUACCCGAAACCGACACAGGUGGGCAAGUAGAGAAUACUAAGGGGCGCGAGGUAACUCUCUCCAAGGAACUCGGCAAAAUGACCCCGUAACUUAGGGAGAAGGGGUGCCACCGAGAGGUGGUCGCAGUGAAGAGGCCCAGGCGACUGUUUAGCAAAAACAUAGGUCUCUGCAAACUCGAAAGAGGAGGUAUAGGGGCUGACGCCUGCCCAGUGCCGGAAGGUUAAAGAAGUUGGUCAGUUUUAGGAUGAAGCUAGCGACUGAAGCCCCGGUGAACGGCGGCCGUAACUAUAACGGUCCUAAGGUAGCGAAAUUCCUUGUCGGGUAAGUUCCGACCCGCACGAAAGGCGUAACGAUCUGGGCGCUGUCUCGGAGAGAGGCUCGGCGAAAUAGGAUUGUCUGUGAAGAUACGGACUACCUGCAUUUGGACAGAAAGACCCUAUGAAGCUUUACUAUAGCUUGGAAUUGUGUUCGGGCUUCCUGUGCGCAGGAUAGGUGGGAGGCGUAGAAGGUAUUCUUGUGGGGAUACUGGAGCCAACGGUGAGAUACCACUCUCAGGAGGCUAGAAUUCUAACUUAAUUAGGGACAGUUUCAGGUGGGUAGUUUGACUGGGGCGGUCGCCUCCAAAAAGGUAACGGAGGCGUACAAAGGUUCCCUCAGACUGGUUGGAAAUCAGUCGAAGAGUGCAAAGGCAGAAGGGAGCUUGACUGCGAGAAGUACAGUUCGAGCAGGGUGGAAACACGGUCUUAGUGAUCCGACGGUGCUGUGUGGAAGGGCCGUCGCUCAACGGAUAAAAGUUACUCUAGGAUAACAGGCUGAUCUCCCCCAAGAGUUCACAUCGACGGGGAGGUUUGGCACCUCGAUGUCGGCUCAUCGCAACCUGGGGCGGAAGUACGUCCCAAGGGUUGGGCUGUUCGCCCAUUAAAGCGGUACGUGAGCUGGGUUCAGAACGUCGUGAGACAGUUCGGUCCAUAUCCGAUGUAGACGUGAGAAUAUUGAGAGGAGCCUUCCUUAGUACGAGAGGACCGGGAAGGACGCACCGCUGGUGUACCUGUUAUGAUGCCAAUUGUAAACGCAGGGUAGCCAAGUGCGGAGAGGAUAACCGCUGAAAGCAUCUAAGUGGGAAGCCCACCUCAAGGUGAGUAUUCUGGUGUAAGGUCACGGGAAGACGACCCGUAAAUAGGCACGAGGUGGAAGUGCAGAGAUGUAUGAAGCCGAAGUGUACUAAUAGACCGUCGGCUUGACC
This 1325-nucleotide ribosomal RNA is filed under the name metagenome. RNAcentral's name for it is "bacterial LSU rRNA". It matches the Rfam family "Bacterial large subunit ribosomal RNA", at positions 1561 to 2925 of the family's 2925-position model. The record is from RNAcentral.